GUUUUCACUCUUGUCAUUGUUCUAGUACUCAUUUUUGUGUGUGUAUGUGUUUGCUGAAGCAAGUGGAAAUCAGCAGGGGGGAGUGUAACAGGGUCAAAAAGGUAUUUCCACUUGCUACACUCAUUUUCAUGUAUGGUCCCUUUAAUUGCACUCUACCUGCACACUCCACCCAGAUAAUGAACUAGUUCCGGUAGGGUCAUUUAGAUUUGCGCCAGCCGAGAGGGUGACUGGCUGCGAGCAUGCACGAGGGUGAUUUGCGAAUCUGAUCACCGCUGUUUAAUAUGUUGUCAACAGAAUAAAAGUCUGUCUUCAAGC
Long non-coding RNA from Sinocyclocheilus grahami, 315 nucleotides. RefSeq lists it as uncharacterized. The transcript is spliced from 3 exons. The record is from RefSeq and is a predicted model, not a curated record. NCBI's taxonomy places the organism in Eukaryota, Metazoa, Chordata, Actinopteri, Cypriniformes, Cyprinidae.